RNAcentral lists this ribosomal RNA (468 nucleotides) under uncultured bacterium. RNAcentral's name for it is "partial 16S ribosomal RNA". It matches the Rfam family "Bacterial small subunit ribosomal RNA", at positions 28 to 507 of the family's 1533-position model. The record is from RNAcentral.
GACGAACGCUGGCGGCGUGCUUAACACAUGCAAGUCGAACGGAAAGGCCCUGCUUUUGUGGGGUGCUCGAGUGGCGAACGGGUGAGUAACACGUGAGUAACCUGCCCUUGACUUUGGGAUAACUUCAGGAAACUGGGGCUAAUACCGGAUAGGAGCUCCUGCUGCAUGGUGGGGGUUGGAAAGUUUCGGCGGUUGGGGAUGGACUCGCGGCUUAUCAGCUUGUUGGUGGGGUAGUGGCUUACCAAGGCUUUGACGGGUAGCCGGCCUGAGAGGGUGACCGGCCACAUUGGGACUGAGGUACGGCCCAGACUCCUACGGGAGGCAGCAGUGGGGAAUAUUGCACAAUGGGCGGAAGCCUGAUGGAGCAACGCCGCGUGCGGGAUGACGGCCUUCGGGUUGUAAACCGCUUUCGCCUGUGACGAAGCGUGAGUGACGGUAAUGGGUAAAGAAGCACCGGCUAACUACGUG